AGUGUAUGAUGACACCUUCGUAACCCUACACAUUCCCAACUGAGCACUGGGCAAGUCAAACUUGGAGAGCUGAGCAUGCA
RNAcentral lists this small nucleolar RNA (80 nucleotides) under Chinchilla lanigera (long-tailed chinchilla). The record is from RNAcentral. Lineage: Eukaryota; Metazoa; Chordata; Mammalia; Rodentia; Chinchillidae.